UACGUAGGCAGCAAGCGUUGUUCGGAGUUACUGGGCGUAAAGGGUGCGUAGGCGGCUUCUUAAGUCUGGUGUGAAAUCUCCCGGCUCAACUGGGAGGGUGCGCCGGAUACUGAGGGGCUAGAGUCCGGAAGAGGAGAGUGGAAUUCCUGGUGUAGCGGUGAAAUGCGCAGAUAUCAGGAAGAACACCCGUGGCUAAGGCGGCUCUCUAGUAGCGGUACCUGACGCUGAGACGCGAAAGCGUGGGAGCGACAGG
Molecule: ribosomal RNA, 253 nt
Filed under: uncultured bacterium
Lineage: Bacteria
Description: partial 16S ribosomal RNA
Rfam family: Bacterial small subunit ribosomal RNA
Source: RNAcentral